RNAcentral lists this ribosomal RNA (578 nucleotides) under Trigonopterus rufipes. RNAcentral's name for it is "SSU rRNA". It matches the Rfam family "Eukaryotic small subunit ribosomal RNA", at positions 23 to 581 of the family's 1831-position model. The record is from RNAcentral. Lineage: Eukaryota; Metazoa; Arthropoda; Insecta; Coleoptera; Curculionidae.
GUCAUAUGCUUGUCUCAAAGAUUAAGCCAUGCAUGUCUCAGUACAAGCCAAAUUAAGGUGAAACCGCGAAAGGCUCAUUAAAUCAGUUAUGGUUCCUUAGAUCGUACCCACAAUUACUUGGAUAACUGUGGUAAUUCUAGAGCUAAUACAUGCAAACAGAGCUCCGACCGGAGACGGAAGGAGUGCUUUUAUUAGAUCAAAACCAAUCGGUGGCGGGUUCGCUCGUUAUCGUAUAACUUGGUGACUCUGAAUAACUUUACGCUGAUCGCACGGUCAUCGCACCGGCGACGCAUCUUUCAAAUGUCUGCCUUAUCAACUGUCGAUGGUAGGUUCUGCGCCUACCAUGGUUGUAACGGGUAACGGGGAAUCAGGGUUCGAUUCCGGAGAGGGAGCCUGAGAAACGGCUACCACAUCCAAGGAAGGCAGCAGGCGCGCAAAUUACCCACUCCCGGCACGGGGAGGUAGUGACRAAAAAUAACGAUACGGGACUCAUCCGAGGCCCCGUAAUCGGAAUGAGUACACUCUAAACCCUUUAACGAGGAUCAAUUGGAGGGCAAGUCUGGUGCCAGCAGCCGCGG